Molecule: unclassified non-coding RNA, 255 nt
Filed under: uncultured fungus
Lineage: Eukaryota; Fungi
Description: partial contains 5.8S ribosomal RNA, internal transcribed spacer 2, and large subunit ribosomal RNA
Source: RNAcentral
AACGCACAUUGCGCCCUUUGGCAUUCCGAAGGGCAUGCCCGUUCGAGCGUCAUUAAAUCCACUCAAGCCUGGCUUGGUAUUGGGCGCCGGGGACCCCCCGCGCCUCCAUUUCGCCGGCCGGCCGUCGUUUGACUUAGCGUUGUGACACAUGUCGCUGACGACGAAGACGGACCGCGCCGUGAGAAUUUCCUUGGGUAUCGUCGAUAUCCAGUAAAGGUUGACCUCGGAUCGGGUAGGAAUACCCGCUGAACUUAA